UAGGGAAUCUUCGGCAAUGGACGAAAGUCUGACCGAGCAACGCCGCGUGAGUGAAGAAGGUUUUCGGAUCGUAAAACUCUGUUGUUAGAGAAGAACAAGGACGUUAGUAACUGAACGUCCCCUGACGGUAUCUAACCAGAAAGCCACGGCUAACUACGUGCCAGCAGCCGCGGUAAUACGUAGGUGGCAAGCGUUGUCCGGAUUUAUUGGGCGUAAAGCGAGCGCAGGCGGUUUCUUAAGUCUGAUGUGAAAGCCCCCGGCUCAACCGGGGAGGGUCAUUGGAAACUGGGAGACUUGAGUGCAGAAGAGGGGAGUGGAAUUCCAUGUGUAGCGGUGAAAUGCGUAGAUAUAUGGAGGAACACCAGUGGCGAAGGCGGCUCUCUGGUCUGUAACUGACGCUGAGGCUAGAAAGCGUGGGGAGCAAACAGG
RNAcentral lists this ribosomal RNA (429 nucleotides) under Gemmatimonadota bacterium. RNAcentral's name for it is "Gemmatimonadetes bacterium partial 16S ribosomal RNA". It matches the Rfam family "Bacterial small subunit ribosomal RNA", at positions 355 to 776 of the family's 1533-position model. Lineage: Bacteria; Pseudomonadati; Gemmatimonadota. The record is from RNAcentral.